This 253-nucleotide ribosomal RNA is filed under the name uncultured bacterium. RNAcentral describes it as "partial 16S ribosomal RNA". It matches the Rfam family "Bacterial small subunit ribosomal RNA", at positions 524 to 776 of the family's 1533-position model. The record is from RNAcentral.
UACGUAGGGUGCAAGCGUUGUCCGGAAUUAUUGGGCGUAAAGAGCUCGUAGGCGGUCUGCCGCGUCUGCUGUGAAAACUCGGGGCUUAACCCCGGGCCUGCAGUGGGUACGGGCAGACUAGAGUGCGGUAGGGGAGACUGGAAUUCCUGGUGUAGCGGUGAAAUGCGCAGAUAUCAGGAAGAACACCCGUGGCGAAAGCGGCUCUCUGGAACGGUACUGACGCUGAGGAGCGAAAGUGUGGGGAGCGAACAGG